Molecule: unclassified non-coding RNA, 341 nt
Filed under: soil metagenome
Description: partial contains 5.8S ribosomal RNA, internal transcribed spacer 2, and large subunit ribosomal RNA
Rfam family: 5.8S ribosomal RNA (bases 1-120)
Source: RNAcentral
GAUGAAGAACGUAGCGAAAUGCGAUAAGUAAUGUGAAUUGCAGAGUUCAGUGAAUCAUCGAAUCUUUGAACGCACAUUGCGCCCGUCAGUAUUCUGACGGGCAUGCCUGUCCGAGCGUCAUUUGUACCCUCAAGCUUUGCUUGGUGUUGGGCGUCUUGUCUCUAGCUUUGCUGGAGACUCGCCUUAAAGUAAUUGGCAGCCGGCCUACUGGUUUCGGAGCGCAGCACAAGUCGCACUCUCUAUCAGCAAAGGUCUAGCAUCCAUUAAGCCUUUUUUUCAACUUUUGACCUCGGAUCAGGUAGGGAUACCCGCUGAACUUAAGCAUAUCAAUAAGCGGAGGA